GCCCCGAUAGCUCAGAUGGAUAGAGCGACUCCCUCCUAAGGAGUAGGCCCCAGGUUCGAAUCCUGGUCGGGGCGCUA
This 77-nucleotide transfer RNA is filed under the name Actinomycetes bacterium. RNAcentral describes it as "Actinobacteria bacterium tRNA-Arg". It matches the Rfam family "tRNA". Rfam says of the family: Transfer RNA (tRNA) molecules are approximately 80 nucleotides in length. Their secondary structure includes four short double-helical elements and three loops (D, anti-codon, and T loops). Lineage: Bacteria; Bacillati; Actinomycetota; Actinomycetes. The record is from RNAcentral.